AAAAUUUUGGUUGUCCUUGCUAAGCACGGGCCCGACAUGUAAGGGUGCAUGGUUGCGAAGGGCAAGAGAGAUACAGACCAAAUGAAGCUUCUUCAUUAUUUGUAUACAGCUUCAUUUGGGACAACUCACCGAGAAAAAAGUGAAGUCCCAGGAUACCCCAAACAGCCAGGACCUUGAUGCUACAACAACAAAGCUUCACUCUAAUUUAUACACACAAUUUGUUUUUAAACCGUGUUGUCGUGACUAGCUUGCGUGCACUUUCGAGUAGUUCCACGAGAUACCUGCUACCUCACACCAGCAACAGGUACCGGGUAACUCUGUUCAUCAAGGAUUGAACAGAUGGGAUGGAAAGAAAUCAAUUGGUGUUUUUGCCUCCUUGGAGGUUUGAAUCCGAGACCUCAUGGUUCUCAAUCCACUUCAUUGACCACUAGGCCACACCUAGGGUGC
RNAcentral lists this long non-coding RNA (447 nucleotides) under Nicotiana benthamiana. RNAcentral's name for it is "long non-coding RNA (NBEN_LNC002265)". Lineage: Eukaryota; Viridiplantae; Streptophyta; Magnoliopsida; Solanales; Solanaceae. The record is from RNAcentral.